This 191-nucleotide ribosomal RNA is filed under the name uncultured Staphylococcus sp. RNAcentral's name for it is "partial 16S ribosomal RNA". It matches the Rfam family "Bacterial small subunit ribosomal RNA", at positions 148 to 334 of the family's 1533-position model. Lineage: Bacteria; Bacillati; Bacillota; Bacilli; Caryophanales; Staphylococcaceae. The record is from RNAcentral.
UUCGGGAAACCGGAGCUAAUACCGGAUAAUAUAUUGAACCGCAUGGUUCAAUAGUGAAAGACGGUUUUGCUGUCACUUAUAGAUGGAUCCGCGCCGCAUUAGCUAGUUGGUAGGUAACGGCUUACCAAGGCAACGAUGCGUAGCCGACCUGAGAGGGUGAUCGGCCACACUGGAACUGAGACACGGUCCAG